Molecule: ribosomal RNA, 460 nt
Filed under: uncultured bacterium
Lineage: Bacteria
Description: partial 16S ribosomal RNA
Rfam family: Bacterial small subunit ribosomal RNA
Source: RNAcentral
CCUACGGGGGGCAGCAGUGAGGAAUAUUGGUCAAUGGCCGGAAGGCUGAACCAGCCAUGCCGCGUGAAGGUCAGUGCCCUAUGGGCGUUAAACUUCUUUUGUGCGGGAGCAAUAAUGGUCACGUGUGGCCAGACGAGAGUACCGUACGAAUAAGCAUCGGCUAACUCCGUGCCAGCAGCCGCGGUUAUACGGGGGAUGCAAGCGUUAUCCGGAUUUUUAGGGUUUAAAGGGUGCGUAGGCUGUGAGGUAAGUCAGCGGUGAAAUGCCUCCGCUUAAAGGGGUGAAGUGCCAUUGAUACUGCCUGGCUGGAGUGCGGAUGCCGUGGGAGGAAUGUGUGGUGUAGCGGUGAAAUGCAUAGAUAUCACACAGAACACCGAUUGCGAAGGCAUCUCACGAAUCCGCGAUUGACGCUGAUGCACGAAAGCGUGGGUAUCAAACAGGAUUAGAUACCCUUGUAGUC